CCCCUGUGUUUAGAAACUAUCUAAUUUCAUCCAAUUUUUGCUAAUAGUGUUUUGAUUCCUACUGAAAUGUUAUUGGGGUAAAUAAAUUAUAACCUUUAAGACAGUGGGCGGAGAUGACCAAUGACCAAAAGUACUGUGGACAAUAGACUGGCUAUAUAACUUCUAUUUGGCCAAGUUUUAUUGCCGUCAACUAUUUGAACUAUUAUGUAUUCUUACAAUAUUUAUUUUUUUUAUUAUUAUUGGUGUUGAGUUUUCUUUAUUUAUCAGCUGUAUUCCAAAUCAACUAUAAUAUAUUCAAAUCAAAAAUUUAAAUUCAGCUAUUUGUGUAGAGGAAAAUAUCCUUUUUAAAUCGCACAACCUUGAAAUAAUUUAGUGUAAUCUCCUUUGUACUGUAACAAAGUAAAGAAGAGGCUCCAGAACCUUUUUCUUUGGUUAAAGUUUCUGCUGCUUAACUUUAAAUUUAACUUUUUAAAGAAUAUUUAAAUUAAAAUUUAUAAAUAUAGACUUUUGAAUUU
This 515-nucleotide long non-coding RNA is filed under the name Mytilus galloprovincialis (Mediterranean mussel). The record is from RNAcentral. Lineage: Eukaryota; Metazoa; Mollusca; Bivalvia; Mytilida; Mytilidae.